Molecule: long non-coding RNA, 2251 nt
Organism: Gambusia affinis (western mosquitofish)
Lineage: Eukaryota; Metazoa; Chordata; Actinopteri; Cyprinodontiformes; Poeciliidae
Exons: 3
Source: RefSeq, a predicted model, not a curated record
GGAGACGUCGAAUUAAUCUUUUGGUGCUUUUGCUUCCACAGUUUACUUUAUUUGUUUUGAACUUCUGUUUUAAUUUUUUUUACUUACCGGAUCAACCUCAUAUCGGUUGGAUUUGUUCAUCUGAAGACAUUGAAAAUAUUUAUUUUGUAUUUUUGUUGCUGUUCUGGAUCUUUAUCUUGAGUCACACCAUCAGACUAUGGAUCCAACUAAGGACCUGAGAAACGACUGGAUGUCUAAACUGAAAGAAGAAUUUGUCAGAAGUUCAGUGGCAUCUACUUUAGGCUUUGUACUGAUCCAGUUGGUGUUGGAGAAACUGGUGGAAACAGAGUUUUCAUGCCCUUGUGACUCUGAAUACAACUAUUUACAUACUUCAGUAUGUUUCAUUGUUCCACCCUUUAUAGUCUUUACACUAAUGUAUGUCACUGCAGGUCACUAUAAACUCUGUGACGCCUUGAAACUCGGCAUUAUUCCAGCUGGAGUAUGGUUGGUGAUAGUGUUCCUUGAUGGUCGUUAUUACGCCUGUGCAAUGACCAGUUGGUCAGGGAAGUAUGAAAUGAUUGUGAACGCUGAACCUCAGAAAUGGUGCCAACCAUUAAACCCCAACUCAUCUCAGGAGCUGCUGGCCAAAACCCAGCUUCUGUAUUCUGAAUCGCAGUUCUUUGGAUUCCUGGCAGUGUUUUUGUUGACGCUUUUUUAUAUUUUAUGUUUGAUCAUCUCUUCCUUGUUCUCAUACUGCAGUGCAAAUUUGGACAGAACGAGCCUAUUCCUUUUUUCCAUUGUUAUUGUUCCAUUGUCUAUUUAUUUUUUAGUUCUAUGGAUUUUUGACUCUAUUUUGGUUGCCUGUUCAUGUGGUUUGGUUUGUCUGGCCCUGAUGCUCGCAGGUAAACUUACAGAGGACUGAAGAGUUUAAUAACUAACAGGAUUUACUCAGGGCCGGCACAAGCCUCCAUGGGGCCCUGUGCGAAAUUUGGUUGAGGGGCCCUCUACUUCUGCUAACAAUGUGAAUUUCUGGAAUCAACAGACGAUUAGAUAAUUCACACACCUGAUAUAAACUUAUUGCGUAUUUGAUGCCGCUGUUUGCAUUAUACCCUAUGCAUGUAUAAUAUAGGAUACAUUUAUCUGCCAGUCGAUUUCUGGGUUAAUUUUGGGGGAUCGUGAUCGGCCGAUACUUACACAGGAAGCCCAUCUUAUCCACUGAUCUUAUUUUUGUCAGGAAAGGUUUAAAAAUCAGCUUCUGUCCUCUUCUGCUCUACAGUGAGGGUUUGACUGACAGACCGGCCCACCAGCUCAGGUCUGAACGUUUACAGUUAACAACAUUCACCCCACUGUUGCCAACUCACCAACUUUCUUGCUACCUUUAGAAACAUUUCAGACAAAAAAAAUUGGUAUCGGCCAAAAAUAAAAAUCAGCAGGUCAGGCUCUUUAAAGAUCGGUAACCAGGGAUCGGUCAGAAAACUGCAAUCAGUGCAGCUCUACACACAUAUUCAUGACGUUCUUUGAUUAGAUAAAUUUCUCUCAAGCGUUACUCCAAUAGCUAGAAAUUUAAUUUACACCAGGUGAGUUUUUCUUCCCUUGAUUCUGAGCCUUGAAAUGAUUUCAACAUAAGUUUCACAUAGCUUAUAAGUUGAUGUAAAAUAAUGUUUGUUUUAGCCACAUAAAUGAUAAACAACAAAUCACCCCAACUACAGCAUAGAGCAGCUCGUCGAUGUAGCAGCCAUGUAGCCUGAUGGAAAACAUUUUGCUAGACUAUAUCAAACAUUGAGAAGUUUUAAUCACUGUUAUCAAACGUUGUUAAACACGCCGUUUAAAAAGCCAAAAAAAACUCAGAAAUAUACAGAACCAAGCAGGAGAAUCAUCUCAUUUAAAGUUAAAACUUAGAUUCACACAAAGACGCUAGCAUAAAUGUUUGGCUGGAAGGAUAAGUGUGCUUAGUUUGCUUGUGCCUUGGGCCGGCCCUGCCCAGAACCAGAACCAAAUAUGGAGAAACAGCAUUCAGCUUCUAUGUACCACAACAAACUUACAGAAAGCUGCAAAACGGCCGAAACACAGAAUUAAAUUUAAUCUAGAGUUUCUUUGAUAAGUAGAAAGUUGAACAUUGAUCAACAUAUUUGAUGUGUGAUGAUGAUUUUGGUGAUGACAUUUGACAAAAUGAGUUUGUUUAUUGAUCAUUUCAUAAUUGGCGACGGCGACGUUUCCUGAUGUAAAGCACUUUGAACUGCCUUGUUUCUGUGAAACGAAUAAACUAGAUUUG